Long non-coding RNA from Peromyscus californicus insignis, 1025 nucleotides. RefSeq lists it as uncharacterized. NCBI's taxonomy places the organism in Eukaryota, Metazoa, Chordata, Mammalia, Rodentia, Cricetidae. The transcript is spliced from 4 exons. The record is from RefSeq and is a predicted model, not a curated record.
CUCUUCGUGGCCUGAUUAAGACAGUCUCUGGGCCUAUGACCACCGGAUCCCCUUGAUUCUGUGACCAGAACACCCAUUUCGGGCACCUUUCCAACUGCGUGUUCCUGGGUCCAUGGUGGAAGAGUGAAAGGCAUUUUGAAAAUACAGCCUAAAUGUCACACACGACGACAGAAAAAUGUGCUCCCAGCAAGAGACAGAGUUUCCUCCCAUGAACUAGGGAGCUGGGUGAAGGAGUGACGCAGUCUGAGACUGAGAUCUCCACGGCAGCAGGAAGCCUCACCUAGGUUGUGACCUUUGCUUUCUAAUCCAGUUUGUAUGAAAAUGUCCUGCAGGGCGGUGGUGGCACUCUCCUUUAAUCCAGCACUCGGGAGGCAGAGGCAGGCCCUUCACCAUACUCAACAGUGGACCUUCUUUUCUGCCUUCAGGGCUGCUGGUCCUGGGCUCUGUAGCUCCUGGCUAGCAGAAGGAUUAGAAAGGAAGGAGAGGAAGGCAGUCUCUUUUUUGGCCCAGGAUGCAUCAUUUCUGUUCAUCUUGCAUGAACAACCCAGGUUGGGAAAUAAAGCCUCCACUUGACUGGUUAAGUACCAGUUCCACCCUUGGGAGUGAGAGGGUUUGAUCAUAUGUGAGACACUUGUCUGGUACCUCAUGGGCAUAUGUGACAUUUGAGGAAGAAUUGUCUUUAACUAAAAACAUUGUAUUUAUGUGUGUGUACCUGCUUAUCUGUAUAUGCACUAUAUGUGUGCAGUACUUGUGGAGUCCAGAAGAGGGCACUGGAUCCCCUGGAAUCCAGUUACAGGUGGUUGUGAAUUGCUAGGUAUAGUUGGGAAUCUAGCCUGGGUCCUCUGCAAGAGCAGCCAGUGUUCUUAACUGCUGAACCAUCUCUUCAGUCCUGAGAAAGGAUUUUCUGAUUCUUUUGAAUAAAAAAAAAUUGAGUAUCCUUAUAGUUAAUUUUUACUUAUUUCAGAAUUAUUCUAAACAACAAUGAUAUGCUUAGCUAUAUUAAAAAAUAAACAAAAGUUAUUGUA